Molecule: ribosomal RNA, 448 nt
Filed under: Wolbachia sp.
Lineage: Bacteria; Pseudomonadati; Pseudomonadota; Alphaproteobacteria; Rickettsiales; Anaplasmataceae
Description: bacterial SSU rRNA
Rfam family: Bacterial small subunit ribosomal RNA
Source: RNAcentral
ACACAUGCAAGUCGAACGGGGUUAUAUUGUAGCUUGCUAUGGUAUAACUUAGUGGCAGACGGGUGAGUAAUGUAUAGGAAUCUACCUAGUAGUACGGAAUGAUUGUUGGAAACGGCAACUAAUACCGUAUACGCCCUACGGGGGAAAGAUUUAUUGCUAUUAGAUGAGCCUAUAUUAGAUUAGCUAGUUGGUAAGGUAAUGGCUUACCAAGGCAAUGAUCUAUAGCUGAUCUGAGAGGAUGAUCAGCCACACUGGAACUGAGAUACGGUCCAGACUCCUACGGGAGGCAGCAGUGGGGAAUAUUGGACAAUGGGCGAAAGCCUGAUCCAGCCAUGCCGCAUGAGUGAAGAAGGCCUUUGGGUUGUAAAGCUCUUUCGGUGAGGAAGAUAAUGACGGUACUCACAGAAGAAGUCCUGGCUAACUCCGUGCCAGCAGCCGCGGUAAUUCA